AACGCGAAGAACCUUACCAAGGUUUGACAUGCAGGGAAAAGCCGUAGAGAUACGGUGUCCGUAAGGGUCCUGCACAGGUGGUGCAUGGCUGUCGUCAGCUCGUGUCGUGAGAUGUUGGGUUAAGUCCCGCAACGAGCGCAACCCUCGUCCUAUGUUGCCAGCGGGUAAUGCCGGGGACUCAUAGGAGACUGCCGGGGUCAACUCGGAGGAAGGUGGGGAUGACGUCAAGUCCUCAUGCCCCUUAUGUCUUGGGCUGCACACGUACUACAAUGCCCGGUACAAAGGGAAGCAAGACCGCAAGGUGGAGCAAAUCCCCCAAAACCGGGCCCAGUUCAGAUUGUUGUCUGCAACUCGACAGCAUGAAGCUGGAAUCGCUAGUAAUGGCGCAUCAGCUACGGCGCCGUGAAUACGUUCCCGGGCCUUGUACACACCGAUAGC
This 438-nucleotide ribosomal RNA is filed under the name uncultured bacterium. RNAcentral describes it as "bacterial SSU rRNA". It matches the Rfam family "Bacterial small subunit ribosomal RNA", at positions 958 to 1397 of the family's 1533-position model. The record is from RNAcentral.